AUGAAUAUCCUAAGUUGGAACUGCCGAGGGGGUGGGAACCCUCGGACAGUUCGAGAUCUUGUGAGUCUAGUGCAGGCUCAUUCCCCUAGUAUCGUCUUUCUUUGUGAAACUAGGCAGACUAAGAAUAAAAUGCAGAGGUACCGUAAUCGGUUAGGUUUGAGAGGUUUUGAUGCUUUUGAUGUGGAUCGCAGUGGUGGUCUCGCUUUGUAUUGGCAUGAG
RNAcentral lists this ribosomal RNA (219 nucleotides) under Triticum aestivum (bread wheat). Its description in RNAcentral is "partial small subunit ribosomal RNA". Lineage: Eukaryota; Viridiplantae; Streptophyta; Magnoliopsida; Poales; Poaceae. The record is from RNAcentral.